CCUUGGCCUGAAGCCUUCUUUCGCAAGCUGCUCGGCGGCUUCUAGCAUCGAAAAAAGAUUGCCCUUGUCAUCCCAAGAGCCGCGGCCCCAGAUGAAGCCGUCUUUCACCUCGCCGCUGAACGGCGGCACCUGCCAGUCGCCGUCCGUGCCGGGCGCGAUCGGCACCACGUCCUGAUGCGCCAGCAGCGCGAUCGGCGCGGCCUUCGGAUCGCGGCCCUCCCAUGUGUAGAGCAGGCUGUAAUUGGCGACGAUCUCGCGUUUGGCGGCGGCAUGAAACGCCGGAAAACU
RNAcentral lists this unclassified non-coding RNA (288 nucleotides) under Hevea brasiliensis (rubber tree). The record is from RNAcentral. Lineage: Eukaryota; Viridiplantae; Streptophyta; Magnoliopsida; Malpighiales; Euphorbiaceae.